RNAcentral lists this long non-coding RNA (3021 nucleotides) under Sarcophilus harrisii (Tasmanian devil). RNAcentral's name for it is "lncRNA (ENSSHAG00000032095.1)". The record is from RNAcentral. Lineage: Eukaryota; Metazoa; Chordata; Mammalia; Dasyuromorphia; Dasyuridae.
AUGUGGCACUUCAUCUUUCUGAUCCUUCCCUCCUCAUCUAUAAGAUGAGGGUUAGAACCUGCAUACUUCAUAAAGUGAUUGUGAACCUGGCAGCACUUCCUUUUCUCCUAUCCUGUGAUUCUCCUGAUCACGACUCAGCAUCCAUUUGGCCGAAGCUGAUUUCCAAAAGCAGGAAUCUGUGGAGUUGGACUGAGGGGAAUGAACCGUGAGGGAGCUCCCGGGAAGAGUCCGGAGGAGAUGUACAUUCAGCAGAAAGUUCGGGUCUUGCUCAUGCUGAGGAAGAUGGGAUCAAAUCUGACAGCCAGUGAGGAAGAAUUCCUGCGGACGUAUGCAGGGGUAGUGAGCAGCCAGCUGAGCCAGCUCCCAUCACACUCCAUCGACCAGGGUGCAGAGGACGUGGUCAUGGCGUUUUCCAGGUCGGAGACAGAAGACAGGCGGCAAUAGCUACAGCGCAACCUGGAACCCACUGGAAGUCAACGAGGGCCAUGCAAGCUCUGGGAAGCUGGCUGCCUGCACCGGUCCCCUGCCCUUCCCUCCUCCCCACUCUUCAUGCCCCUAACUCCCUCUCCCCUGCCCUGGGAAGCACCUCCCAGCCCACUACCCAGCUGGCUGUGUUAGCGAGGGGGAGACCAGUGGUGCACAUGGGAUUGGCUCAAAGGGAUGGACUUUGUAAUUGGCUACAGGGAGAAAUCUUUUUAUUUUUUAAAACCUGACCAAUGGAAACCUUUUCUUUUUAUUUCUGCCUCUUUCACCACCUCAUCCCUUUUCUUGCUGUCUGGGCAUAGAACUUCCCAGGAAGCUCUCCUAUGCCUUGGUGCUUUAUUUAGGUCAUUUUUAGCAAUGUGAAAAGGUUUUGAUUGGCUGCCUAAAACUGGAAACAACUCUUGAUUGGCUGGUGAAAAGAAAACGCUUCUCUCUUUGAUUGGUUUCAGGUAUUCUGCUGAUCUCAACAGCUUGAUUCUAAGUAAAGAGAAUAGGGGUUGGGGCAUUGGCUGUUACAUUUGACUUGAAAAAAAAAAUACAAAACUAAGUGUGCUUUGCGAUAUUUAUUACACAAAGAGCUGCUGCUGCUUUUAAAUUUUAUUUUUGAAUUCGAUUGGCUUAUGGUCGAUGUGUUUGUUUUCCUGCUGGCUCUAGUGGCCAUAGAUUUACCCCCAAAAAACUACAUCCACAAAACCCUACCACCUCUGCUGCUUGAAAUCUCUGGUCCCAGGGGAAGCCAACUCAAGAAUCUAUUUACAUUAAUAAUUACACCUGCCCUCCCUGGAGCUGGAAAUAUAAAAGGCUCCUGGGCGAGGCCACAGCUGCAAACCAGGACCCAGGACAGACUGGAUAUCAGCUCUGUAAGAGUCAGAGUUAAGCGGUCACCAAGAGCUGAGGUGUGUGAGUGUGUGCCCGUGUGCCCGUGUCAUGUACAUGCACACACUCACACGUGCCACCCGCCACUCUUUGUAGGGUUAUGAUGUUGCUGGAAAAAAUACAGGGCCCCCCUGCCCCUAAAACCUUGUUUGUUCUGCAGCCUGAAAGCUUCUGGCUUGGAGGGAGCUUCUCUGUCCUUGUUUAGAGACUGCUGCUGCUUCUAAGUAGGGAAAAAGAAGCCCCAGGAGGCCCCUAGGCCCUUCCCUCAGGCACUUGGGAGGAGAUGGGGCUCAACUCACAGGUCCUGAGGAUGCCUUUGUGCACCCCCUUUUCUUUCCCCUCCCGUGGGUUUCUACUGCCCCAACCUACACUGACCAUCUUGCAGUCCCGAGUGUCCUCCUCCCACUCACCCCCCACAGUUCUCCCAGCCCCUUUUAAAAGCCUACAUGUUGAAAAGAAAGUCAUCAACCAUAAUUGCCAAACGUUCUGCCAGCUGGGGAGGGCCAGUCUGGCAGGCCCCUACCAAGGCCUUCUCCUAGCUUGGCAGGUAGGGCCGGCCUCAGCUCCCAUUUGUUAAUUCUCCACCUGGGCCCCUGAGCCAGGGGCUGGGGUGGAGGAAGCAGGGAAUCCUUAGUGCCAAAUCCCUGCAGGCAGUGUCAAAACAGAAGCUCCCACCCACCCUUCCCUCCCUCGAGGGGCCCCUGCACCCCCAUCUCUCCUGCCUGCCUUCCCGUGGCAUGCACAGGACUGUACUUUGAAGCAGGUAAACAGGAAACGUUGCCACGUUCAUAUGAAGCUUUUCUUGGGAAAGAGGAAAUCUUAUCUCUGUUCCCAAACAAACCCCAAGUUUUUAAUAAGGGGUCUAGCUCUAACCCUGUGCCCAGGGAGUGGAUGAGACUUUCUGAGCCAAACAGGACUUACUGCCCAAGGGCUUGGGGCCAACCGACAGCCACCAAGGCAUGAGGGGGCAGUUGCAGAGUGCCAACGGUUUAAUGACCUCCAGCAUGUGCAGAAAGGGCCCUCGGAGCAUUCUGCUGCCUGUGACCAAUUAGGAGUGCUAAUGAGGUCGCCUGAUCUGCCGUCCCAAUUCCUUUAAGGUUAGUUAGUCUGUACAAUAUAAACCUUCACAGCCACACCAAACAGCCCCCAGACCCAGCCAGGCUGCCUGGCCAUGUUGCCAAUGGCUGGUGGACAAAGGACCCAGCAGGGAGGAGAUGGUGGGGGUGUCCCAUAAGGCUGGGCACCCCUCCCUUUGGUGGAUACCUUGGUAGUGGGUCCGUAGCAAUGUCUUCCCUACAAAGGACCAGCCCCCAACUCCAGUGUCAUCAGCCGGAGUCCCAAUCGUUGGGCAAAAGGUGAACAACAGCCCCUGACACCCCGGGGUCCCCGUCCUGGCUUCUGUCACGGUGUUGCCCGCUGUGCUCCUGGCCAGCCUGCAGCGCCCAUCGAGGGUCCGAGCCCAGGUGGCGUAGCCAUGUGUUUGUCUGCGGCCCCAGGCCUGUCAAGCUAACAUGCAUCUCUCUUGUGUCCCCGAUGAUAACUCUGACCUGUCUAUCUUCUGAAGAAGAAAAGUGAAAGUGUUUCUGUGGUUUAAUCUUUUAACUAAAAAUGUAACUCUUGGGGAAAAAAUAACAAUAAAGGUUUUUAAUAGCUUGUCAUGGA